This 465-nucleotide ribosomal RNA is filed under the name Vreelandella stevensii. RNAcentral describes it as "partial 16S ribosomal RNA". It matches the Rfam family "Bacterial small subunit ribosomal RNA", at positions 338 to 795 of the family's 1533-position model. Lineage: Bacteria; Pseudomonadati; Pseudomonadota; Gammaproteobacteria; Oceanospirillales; Halomonadaceae. The record is from RNAcentral.
CCUACGGGUGGCAGCAGUGGGGAAUAUUGGACAAUGGGGGGAACCCUGAUCCAGCCAUGCCGCGUGUGUGAAGAAGGCCCUCGGGUUGUAAAGCACUUUCAGUGAGGAAGAACGCCUGGUGGUUAAUACCCAUCAGGAAAGACAUCACUCACAGAAGAAGCACCGGCUAACUCCGUGCCAGCAGCCGCGGUAAUACGGAGGGUGCGAGCGUUAAUCGGAAUUACUGGGCGUAAAGCGCGCGUAGGUGGCUUGAUAAGCCGGUUGUGAAAGCCCCGGGCUCAACCUGGGAACGGCAUCCGGAACUGUCAAGCUAGAGUGCAGGAGAGGAAGGUAGAAUUCCCGGUGUAGCGGUGAAAUGCGUAGAGAUCGGGAGGAAUACCAGUGGCGAAGGUGGCCUUCUGGACUGACACUGACACUGAGGUGCGAAAGCGUGGGUAGCAAACAGGAUUAGAUACCCUUGUAGUC